UACAGAGGUCUCAAGCGUUGUUCGGAUUCAUUGGGCGUAAAGGGUGCGUAGGUGGCGGGGCAAGUCAGGUGUGAAAUCUCGGGGCUCAACCCCGAAACUGCACUUGAUACUGCCUUGCUCGAGUACUGGAGAGGAGACUGGAAUUUACGGUGUAGCAGUGAAAUGCGUAGAUAUCGUAAGGAAGACCAGUGGCGAAGGCGGGUCUCUGGACAGUUCCUGACGCUGAGGCACGAAGGUCAGGGGAGCAAACGGG
Molecule: ribosomal RNA, 253 nt
Filed under: uncultured bacterium
Lineage: Bacteria
Description: partial 16S ribosomal RNA
Rfam family: Bacterial small subunit ribosomal RNA
Source: RNAcentral